This is a non-coding RNA of Octopus bimaculoides (California two-spot octopus), 46 nucleotides long. Lineage: Eukaryota; Metazoa; Mollusca; Cephalopoda; Octopoda; Octopodidae. The record is from Rfam.
UCCAAGGCCCUCAUCAGGGCCACCAACUAUAAAAUAUUUUCACUGG